This 466-nucleotide ribosomal RNA is filed under the name uncultured Alphaproteobacteria bacterium. RNAcentral's name for it is "bacterial SSU rRNA". It matches the Rfam family "Bacterial small subunit ribosomal RNA", at positions 9 to 521 of the family's 1533-position model. Lineage: Bacteria; Pseudomonadati; Pseudomonadota; Alphaproteobacteria. The record is from RNAcentral.
GAGUUUGAUCCUGGCUCAGAACGAACGCUGGCGGCAGGCUUAACACAUGCAAGUCGAACGGGCCCUUCGGGGUCAGUGGCAGACGGGUGAGUAACGCGUGGGAACGUGCCCUUCAGUUCGGGAUAACCCAGGGAAACUUGGGCUAAUACCGGAUACGUGCGAGAGCAGAAAGAUUUAUCGCUGAAGGAUCGGCCCGCAUCUGAUUAACUGGUUGGUGGGGUAAUGGCCCACCAAGGCGACGAUCAGUAGCUGGUCUGAGAGGAUGAUCAGCCACAUUGGGACUGAGACACGGCCCAAACUCCUACGGGAGGCAGCAGUGGGGAAUAUUGGACAAUGGGCGCAAGCCUGAUCCAGCCAUGCCGCGUGAGUGAUGACGGCCUUAGGGUUGUAAAGCUCUUUCGCACGCGACGAUAAUGACGGUAGCGUGAGAAGAAGCCCCGGCUAACUUCGUGCCAGCAGCCGCAGU